Molecule: ribosomal RNA, 253 nt
Filed under: uncultured bacterium
Lineage: Bacteria
Description: partial 16S ribosomal RNA
Rfam family: Bacterial small subunit ribosomal RNA
Source: RNAcentral
UACGGAGGGUUCGAGCGUUAUCCGGAAUUACUGGGCUUAAAGGGUGCGUAGGCGGCUGUGUAAGUCAGGAGUGAAAGCUUGCGGCUCAACCGUAAAAUUGCUUUUGAUACUGCACGGCUGGAAUCAGGAUGAGGUCAGCGGAAUGUGGCAUGUAGCGGUGAAAUGCAUAGAUAUGGCAUAGAACACCAAUUGCGAAGGCAGCUGGCUAGACCUGUAUUGACGCUGAGGCACGAAAGCGUGGGGAGCGAACAGG